RNA transcript from Paramacrobiotus metropolitanus, 5203 nucleotides. RefSeq lists it as uncharacterized. NCBI's taxonomy places the organism in Eukaryota, Metazoa, Tardigrada, Eutardigrada, Parachela, Macrobiotidae. The transcript has 4 exons. The record is from RefSeq and is a predicted model, not a curated record.
UUGAAGUUUGUUGUUGGUUGUGAGACUGCGUGUUGUUCGUGUCAAGUUUUGGAGGUUUUCCCGAAUUAUGCGGUUCUCAGCUCUCAGUUUUGCAUUACUGUAGUCAUUUUGGUUUGAUAUUGGAAUUAGCUGUGGCAGGCGAUAAGGAGUAUGGUUGAUAUGCUACACGCGCCACUGGCGAGCAAACUGCUGACUUUGUCUUUUCUCUUGUGAUCUGUUUCAUUCGCUGUCAAAACGAACAACUGUCUUUGUGGUCCUGCUCUCCUUUCUGAUGGAUUCCGAACCUGCGGCAGAAGCAUGUGUUUCUCACGAAACUGGCGAACCUUCGACCAAGCCCAAACGGCAGCGGAAACACAAGGAUCCCGAUCACUGGCGCAAAGCCAAACUGCCCAAGAACACACCACUGACAUUCGAAUUUCUGGCUGGUCUGCUGUACAGUGGCCCAACGGAGUCCUGGCAGUUACAGAUUGAUCACACGAACGAGAUCAUUGCAUUUUCCCGCCUGUCCACAGACAUCGAACCCAGUUUGCUGGAUUGUGUGCGUUUUCUGCAUGAAACAGACGAAACGCAAGCCGAGGAUAAUCAUGUUGAGACCGUUCAGGGCGACGACCAGGGGGGCGCCCCUGGACGCACCCUCAUCGCGCAGUAUUAUUCCAGUGUCCCGUCGCCGACUCUGACCGAUGAAGUGCCUUCAACAUCGGCGGGGUUGACGGAUGGCGAAUCGCUGCGUUUGACAGCGAAAUCCGUCAUACACACGAUGGAUGACGUGGUGGGGUUUUUGAAGGAAAUUGGGAUGCUGGAUGACGAAACCAUGAGGAGUGUGGUUGAGAAGGCUGCCAAGCGAAAACGCUCUGCCAAGAAACGGAGGAACGAUGAAGAUGCAGCCGCAAAGCCUGCUAAGAGGAGAGCCACGACAUCUUCGAAUCCUCCGAGUGCUCCGAAACGUAAACGGGGCCGACCACCGAAUGGAGAAAAUUUCCCCACACGACAGCAGAUUCCACGAGGAUCGUCGGCUGAGAAUCUGGUUGCCGCGGAUCCUCCUCCAGCGCCCGAAAAGAAGUCUCGAAAAAAGGCUGUCAAGUAUUACGAAGUGGAGCGUAUUAUUGGUGCUGCGCUAUCGUUGGGAAAGGAGACAUUCUUGAUUAAGUGGGUAGGGUUUCCUUUCGAGGAAUGCACAUGGGAAUCUCUGGAAUCCGUGGAGUCCGCCGAAGAAGCCAAGGCUGAAUUUUUCAAAUCUUUUGGCUUACAAAAAAAACAAAUGUGAGACAUGGCAUUUAUUUGUGAUCUAUGUGGGAAAUCUCUUAAUAUCACAAAUCACGGUAUUAAGUGGCACAGAAAUUUUGGAGUUUGUCGAAUUGCUGGAGCGAAGAUCUGCAUCUGCCAACGCAGGCCAUUGGCCUUCUGCUGCAGUUUCUUGAAGAGCGGAUAUUAACGGGGCGGAGGCAGCAUGCCAUUCUUCGACGCAUCCCAGAGAGAGUGUUACAAGGGGAAAGGGACUCUUGCAGUGUGUACUGCGAUGGACUUUAUUGGUGACUCUCUCGACUUAAAACUCUCAACUAAAAAGCAACUCCUAAAACUCGCGAUGCAGUCGCGCUUAUAUUGGCGGCAAAUGGCAAACAUCAAAGGCUUCAAAAAAGAUAGCAAAACCUAAACAACAGGUUAUGCAAUCAAAACUCAUGGGAAGAACACGCCUACGGGCGUGAAGGCAUUCCCGAUGACAUCAUACAAAUGACAUCAUAACAAGAGCCAGACGAGCAUGCGCCGAAGUGUACAAGAAGAUUGUGGAGGACGUAUGUGCACGGAACGAAGAAGACUCUUGGUCUGGGUUACUUUUGUUUGCAUUCGACAAUCUGCACGCUCCUACUGGGAAAUCUGGAAGAGGCCCUUUCCUAGCGAGCGCUGUCAAAACCAGUUUGACUGGCAAACUACUGGAUGCACAAAAAGCAGCUUGUAGGUCAUCUGACGAAGUUUUCCGAAAAGCCGUUGACGCGAAGCUUCAGGAUGGAGACAUUGGUAGAGCCGUCAAGAUACUCACCCCCGAAGACACCAUUGCUGAACUUUCCGAAGAAAUUUUAAGGGCGCUGAAAGAUGAACAUCCAGAUCCACCAGCGGAUCUGGAUACAACGGCCUUGACGUUCCUCCAUAACACACGAUGUUUCUGUUGACGAUAUUCUGUGUGCUGUCAAGUCUUUACCUGCAGGCUCUUCAGCUGGCCCUGACGGUCUACGGCCACAGCCUAUCAAAGACAUGCUAAGCGGGCCAGGGGGUCCAAGUACACAUCUCUUAUCGGCUAUUGCAAAAUGGCUAAAUUGGUUCUUGCGGGGAAUAUACCAGUUGCUACCAGGAAAGUGUUUUUGGAGGGAUAUUACUUAUUGCCAUUGACGAACAAGUCCGAUAGAAUAGCCCAAUACCGUAUGGUUGUACGUGAAAACGUUUGUUCGGUAAGCUGACUGGAAGGCGAAUCUACGAACAGAUGGGUGAGCUAUUUUCGUCUUGUUCAGCUGGGCUACAGAAUACAGAACUCGCGGUGGCGCUGAAGUGGUAGUGAAUUCUGCUCGGAAAUUGUUGGACAAAGAAACUGAUGAAAUUAAAGUACUUCUGAAAAUAGAUUUCGUCAACGCAUUCAAUGCCGUGCAGAAUAGACUUCGCCAACGCAUUCGAUGCCGUGCAGAAGGACAUGUUGAAGAAAAUAGCGGAAGUAAUCCCCCAGUAUUAUGCCGCGUAUGGUUGUUCAUCUUCGUUGUUCUGCGGUGAAAACUUAAUUUCCUCUGCCCAUGGAAUUCAACAGGGAGAUCCGUUGAAGCUGUUAUUGUUUUCCUUUUGUACAAAUGAGCUCUCAGUGCGGCCGUUAUUCAGUUUGUGGUAUUUUGAUGACCCGACAAAUGGGAGGUGAUGUGGAAUCUGUAUUGUCGGGCUUCAGGAACAUAGCUGACUGCGCGUCGCGUUAGAUUGGGCUGCAGAUUAACUUAAAGAAAUAAUCUAUUUAUUUCUGUCUAUUUAUAAGUUGGUAAUCGGAUGUUGAGCAGAUAAGAGCUUUUCAGGAUGUUCAGCGAAGUAGCGCCCGGUGUCCAGUGGGUGGUUGAAGACUAGCUGGAUCUGUGGGGUGCCCCGCUGACUGAUUGGGCAAUACGGCGAGUGUUGGAUGGCAAGAUCGAUCAGAUCAAGCGACUGACCGAUCUUCUUGGUGUGUUACCAGCUCAUCAGUCGGUAUACUUGCUUAAGAGUAGCCUUUCGUUGCCCGGGUUAUUGUUUACCUUUAGGUGUUCGCCUUGGUGGAGGUGGCCUGAAAAGCUGCACGAAUUUGACGAAUACAUAAGGAAGAAAGCGCAGGAAAUUACUAACAUCGAAAUGUUGGUGUCAGUCUUCUUUGCUUCCUUGCCCGACCGGAUGGUAGGAAACAGGCUUCCUUGCCCGACCGGAUGGUAGGAAUAGGAUUUCGGAAAGCAGAGGAAAUUUGCUUGCCUGCCUACUUCUCCUCGCGUUAUGCUACGAAUGCACUCGUUGCCGAUAUCGUACCUGAUGAAGGCGCAAACGACAUCGAGUCGUAUGUGGAGGUCUUUUGUGAGAAGAGCGGUGAAGUGCCCGCACCAGAAAUGUAUUGUCACCAGCGAGCUUAUAUAAUACAUAUACGCUGUUGUCACUAACAGUCAGCGCGGACGGCAAUUGUGUCCGCCAGCAUCAAGUGUUUGCUGGAGGGUGCCGACGUUGUCGAAAAAGCUUGCUUGUUGACUGUCUCCACGAAAGAAUCGGCUGCUUGGGUGUCUGCUUUGCCUGUAUCCAGCCUCGGUAUAUUUGGACGGAGCGACAGUAAGAACUGCAGUUGCGUUGCGCUUGGUGCUGUCGUUUGCAGUGAACAUAAAUGCAUUUGUGGAAGUAUGAUGGAUAAAUUUGGUCGGCACGGACUACCCUUCAAAAAGAAAGGAAGAAUUCCUCGACACGAACAUGUGAAUGAUACUAUGCAAAGAGCGAUCGGACCAGCGAAUAUAUCAUCUAUCAGUGAGCCUAUGGGUCUAGAUCGAAAGAACGGUAAGCGACGGGAUGGAUUAAAUCGUUAUCCGUGGAAAAGGCAAAACGUUGGUGUGGGACGUUACAGCUGUGGCAGAUACGUUUGCACAGGCUUAUAUUGGUCAGACAUCCGAUCAUGCUGGGGGUGCAGCAAAAGGGACCGAACACCGGAAGUGGAGCAAGUGCCGCCUUCUUCAAAAUUGAGGCCUCCUCUGUCGUAUAAGCCUCCCCCACUUUAGUUCGAAAAUUUAGUAGCCUCCUCCGCAUUAGAGGUUUCCCUUCAUAAACGGUGUACUAUAGCAAUAACGCUAGUACAAAGGCUUCGAAAAUUUAAAAGCCUCCCCCUCCUCUGCGGUAUAAGCCUCUCCCCGGGCACCUUUGAAAAUUUAGAAUCCUAGGGCUUCUAAUUCGAAAAAUACGGUAUGCUGAGUCGGCUGAUCAGUAUAUAUUUCAAUCAGUCGCGUUAGGAACAAAUCCGAACAAUGUGGAAGCUGCGGUCCUCGAACCAUGGACUUUAUUGAUGAGCUGGCUAGACGCAUCAGAGAGCAGACUGGGGAUAUUCGCGCAAAGCAGUGUCUGUUACAGCGUUAGCGUGUAGAAAUUCAGCGUGGUAAUGCUGCUUGUGUCUUGGGAACUGUUGAAAAGCAGCAAAACUUGAUGGUUUAUUUUUAGUCUGUUCAUACUUUACUGUGUUUCUUUUACGGAAACUGUAUAAUGUUGAAAAUCUUAUUUGUUUUUGUUUAUUUUUUGGGUCCACAAUGCAGUGUACAGGCAGCCGUCCUCUUUCAAAACGGUUGUUCUCUCUCCAGAAGGGGAGAGAUUCGAGAAAUGGAAAAGGGAAGGCGUUAUGGGAAAAAAUGUUCGACUCAACUGAUACGGAGAUCCGUCAUUCCUCAACUAGCCUGGCAUAUCGGUGUUUAUUACGACUGCCGCCGCAGUCAUUUUUAUUACCUGUGAAUGAUAACCCUUCUUUUCAGUCCGCUGUGGUUCUUUACUGAUUUGAUUGUUACAGUUUCGACUUCAGAAUUGACAGCUAAUAUCUUUUUACAGGCGAAUUAAUUAAUAUAAUUUUGCUUCUGUUCCUUGUACUUGUAUAAGUACUUGAUUAUCUUAUAAAUGUUGGAAUUUGUUGCAUACAAUGGUUCAUGCAGGACAUGUCCAAACUCGGAUUUACGGAUGCUGUUACGCGAUCACUGUG